Molecule: long non-coding RNA, 1499 nt
Filed under: Carica papaya (papaya)
Lineage: Eukaryota; Viridiplantae; Streptophyta; Magnoliopsida; Brassicales; Caricaceae
Description: long non-coding RNA (CPAP_LNC006695)
Rfam family: Plant small nucleolar RNA SNOR75 (bases 194-282)
Source: RNAcentral
CAAGAUCUCUCUAUAUAUUACACAGAUCGGUCCUCUUGUCACUUCGCUUCCUAGGGUUUCUCUCUUACAGGGUUUUCCCUGGUGAGUAAUUAUUUCGCCCCGGAUUUCUCUUCCUUCGUUUUUAUUUUCUUAUCCUUAAUCGCGUUUAACCUAUUGUAUUUGAUUUAUUGUACGGGAAAUUUAUCGGGGGAUUUCUCAGUGAUGAACAAAACGAUGACGAGUCCGAUCUCUAAAUCUAAUCCAUUCUCCUUGACGACAAAUCGAGGCAUUUGUCUGAGAGAAAUCCCCCCCUCUUUUUUUGUUAUUUUGAUUAUUGUAUGUCGAUAUUUGAAUGGGGGAAAUGGGGCGAUGAUGAAGAAAAUGAUCUUUUAUUUUAUGAGGCGUUUCUCUGAUUAUGUUUCAAGCACUUUUGAGCCGAUUUCCUCAAUUCUUAGGGUUUAUCUGUUUUAGGGUUUUCAGAUUCGUUUUCUUCGCCUUUUCAGUUUGUAAUUGUAAUGGCGAGAAUGAUGAGUCGAUUAGAUGUGCGAAAGGAAAAGUUCCAUUAUGAGCUCAAACUUUCGAGGCUUAUUGAUAUUCUGACUCGCUUAAAAAAAAUAUUUACUUUGUAAAUUAAUAUUUAAACAUUGAUAUUCUGACCAAUUCAGUAGUCCAUGACAGAGGGCGACGAUGGAUGCAUAUUUCGUCGUCCCCGUCUCUGGUCUCUAAAGCUUGCCGUACCUGCCGUGCAUCUAAUUCCAAAAUCCCCGGGCCCCGAACGUUAUGGACAACGCAGCCAAGUAGCUUUGCAAGGAAAGGUGGCUGGCAACUAGGAUGUCUUCCUGACCAAGGCAUUUUUUGGCCGAGUUGCGAAUUGUUGACCCAAACCCGGAUACAGGCGGAUGGUGGAGCACGGUAGUGUCAGUAUUACAUUUUCAUACCUCUGGUUCUGGGGGGCGCCAAAAAAUGGCAGGCUGAUUGUCAUGUCUCCACUCAGCAAGGAACUUCCGCAACAGAUAGACGGUGAUACAGUCCACAAACACAUUCCCAAACAAGAUCAUUACGCCGCAUGCAGCGCAGGAGCUCAGCCACCAUCUAUUUAGUCUCAGAUUAAAAAUUGAACUUAUAAAAUAGGAUCCCGAAAUUACAAUGGUGGUUGAACAAUUUAAAUAUGAAUCACAAUUAUCAUCUUGAAAACCAGUUAAAAAUUCAUCGUGAAUUUGAACUAUGGCCUGCAAUGGAGUUUCUUGGCAAUGUAACGUCUACUUAUAAAUGCCUGAAGGGGCAGGUGGGUUGAUGAUUAAAACUAACAUAUUAACGCACCUUCAAUAUAUUUAACUAUUCUUAUAAUAUCAAUAAUUUAUAAUUUUUAUAAUUAUUAUAUUUAUAGUAUGAUAAAAAAAUAUUUAUUUUAACUUAUGGUUGGUAAUAUUGUUAAAUACGUAGUCGUUUUUUUUUUAUCAUACUAUUAAUUUUUAUAAAAUAUAGAAGUUCAAAAUUUUAUGAUGAAUAAAUUGAAGCCC